AGGAAAAGAAACCAACAGGGAUUGCCUCAGUAACGGCGAGUGAAGCGGCAAAAGCUCAAAUUUGAAAUCUGGCACCUCUGGGUGUCCGAGUUGUAAUUUGGAGAGGAUACUUCGGGCAUGGUUGCAGCAUAAGUCCCUUGGAACAGGGUGUCAUAGAGGGUGAGAAUCCCGUCUUAAGUUGUUAACCAUGUCCAUGCGAAGUUCCUUCGACGAGUCGAGUUGUUUGGGAAUGCAGCUCUAAGUGGGUGGUAAAUUUCAUCUAAAGCUAAAUAUUGGCCAGAGACCGAUAGCGAACAAGUAGAGUGAUCGAAAGGUUAAAAGCACCUUGAAAAGGGAGUUAAAUAGCACGUGAAAUUGUUGAAAGGGAAGCGCUUGCAACCAGACUCGGUCACAGGGGCUCAGCAGGCAUGCGUGCCUGUGUACUCCCCUGUGUUCGGGCCAGCAUCAGUUCUGGCGGUUGGUUAAAGGCCCUUGGAAUGUAUCGUCCUCCGGGACGCCUUAUAGCCAAGGGUGUAAUGCGGCCAGCCGGGACUGAGGAACGCGCUUCGGCACGGAUGCUGGCAUAAUGGUUGUAAGCGGCCCGUCUU
Molecule: ribosomal RNA, 587 nt
Filed under: Arthroderma multifidum
Lineage: Eukaryota; Fungi; Ascomycota; Eurotiomycetes; Onygenales; Arthrodermataceae
Description: partial large subunit ribosomal RNA
Rfam family: Eukaryotic large subunit ribosomal RNA
Source: RNAcentral